This 492-nucleotide ribosomal RNA is filed under the name uncultured bacterium. RNAcentral's name for it is "partial 16S ribosomal RNA". It matches the Rfam family "Bacterial small subunit ribosomal RNA", at positions 29 to 507 of the family's 1533-position model. The record is from RNAcentral.
AGUGAACGCUGGCGGUAGGCCUAACACAUGCAAGUCGAACGGCAGCACAGUAAGCGCUUGCUCUUACGGGUGGCGAGUGGCGGACGGGUGAGGAAUACAUAGGAAUCUACUUUUUCGUGGGGGAUAACGUAGGAAAACUUACGCUAAUACCGCAUACGACCUACGGGUGAAAGCAGUGGAUCUACGGACCUUUCGCGAUAGAAUGAGCCGAUGUCGGAUUAGCUAGUUGGCGUGGUAAAGGCACACCAAGGCGACGAUACGUAGCUGGUCUGAGAGGAUGAUCAGCCACACUGGAACUGAGACACGGUCCAGACUCCUACGGGAGGCAGCAGUGGGGAAUAUUGGACAAUGGGCGCAAGCCUGAUCCAGCCAUACCGCGUGGGUGAAGAAGGUCUUCGGGUUGUAAAGCCCUGUUGUUGGGAAAGAAAAGCAGCAGGUUAAUCCCCCGCUGUUCUGACGGUACCCAAAGAAUAAGCACCGGCUAACUUCGUG